UUGCAGGGCAAGAUUAAAAAUUGUUUG
RNAcentral lists this non-coding RNA (27 nucleotides) under Mus musculus (house mouse). Lineage: Eukaryota; Metazoa; Chordata; Mammalia; Rodentia; Muridae. The record is from RNAcentral.